This 989-nucleotide small RNA is filed under the name Arabidopsis thaliana (thale cress). RNAcentral's name for it is "ATSL022430". The record is from RNAcentral. Lineage: Eukaryota; Viridiplantae; Streptophyta; Magnoliopsida; Brassicales; Brassicaceae.
UUGUUUUGAAAGUUUUGAAUAUAAAUUAGGGAAUUUAAUGAAAAAAACCCUUAACUUUGGCCAGAUCCAUUUUAAACCCUAAACUAUGUUUUUAGUAAAACAAACCCUGAACUAAAACCUGUUAAUAAACUUAACUCCACAGUAAUUAAUUAUUAAUGGGAUAUUAAUUUCUAAAAAAAAAAACAACGAGACAUUUGUAUUUAGCGCAAAAACCACAUGAUGUUCUUUAAAACUAUUUUGAAUUUAUUACAAAAAAACGUUCUAAAUGAUUUUGAAUUGCUUAAUUAGUUUGGAUUUUAGAAGCUGAAAGAAAGACACAACAACUUAAAAUAAUCCAAAGAGUCAUACUUAAAUAAAUCCAACCAACAUAACUAUCGAAGCUGUUGCAACACAACAAUAUUUGUCACAAAAAAAACAAUCGUUUCAGAGGGACAAGAUAUUCUAAAGUAAAGACUUGUCAAGCAUUAACUUUGAAGAGAAGAUUGUAUUGGCUGAGUGAUAGGGUUCUCUUCAUCCAUUGUUUUCUGUUUUUUCCUUGGUCGUCUUUGAGGUUUCUUGGGUGGUUUUGGCACUGCUUUACGCUUGCAUGAACGUUUGUUGUGUCCGACUUGUUGAUAGUUGCUACAAGUCUAAAUAUGCAAAGAUUAAAUUAAAUAAUUUGAAAAGGAAGAUCUUGUGAAACAUAAUUCAUUGUUUUCUAUUUUACCAUUUGAACUUUUUCACGUGUAUAAAGAACUUUUUGAGGUGGACGAUCUUCAGUUGGAUCACGGAUUCUGUCAUUGUUCUUUGGUCGAUUUUUGGAAAUUAAUAUCCCAUUAAUAUUUAAUUACUGUGGGGUUAAGUUUAUUAACAGGUUUUAGUUCAGGGUUUGUUUUACUAAAAAUAUAGUUCAGGGUUUAAAAAUGGAUCUGGCCAAAGUUGAGGGUUUUUUUUAUUAAAUUCCCUAUAAAUUAUGAGAAAACAAAGACAGGUCUGCCUUUGCUGGGGGU